ACGGGUGCGUAACACGUGAGCAAUCUGCCGGGAAGUGGGGGAUAGCUCGCCGAAAGGCGAAUUAAUACCGCAUAUGGCCAGGAAGGACAUCCUUCCGAAGCCAAAGUCGCAAGACGCUUCCUGAUGAGCUCGCGGCCUAUCAGCUUGUUGGUGAGGUAACGGCUCACCAAGGCUAUGACGGGUAGCUGGUCUGAGAGGACGACCAGUCACACUGGAACUGAGACACGGUCCAGACACCUACGGGUGGCAGCAGUCGAGAAUUUUUCACAAUGGGGGAAACCCUGAUGGAGCGACGCCGCGUGGAGGACGAAGGCCUUCGGGUCGUAAACUCCUGUCAUGCGGGAACAAGAAAGUGAUAGUACCGCAAGAGGAAGAGACGGCUAACUCUGUGCCAGCAGCCGCGGUAAUACAGAGGUCUCAAGCGUUGUUCGGAUUCAUUGGGCGUAAAGGGUGCGCAGGCGGCGUGGAAAGUUGAGUGUGAAAUCCUGGGGCUUAACCUCAGAACUGCACUCAAUACUCCCAUGCUAGAGGAAUGUAGAGGAGAGUGGAAUUCACGGUGUAGCAGUGAAAUGCGUCGA
Molecule: ribosomal RNA, 578 nt
Filed under: uncultured bacterium
Lineage: Bacteria
Description: bacterial SSU rRNA
Rfam family: Bacterial small subunit ribosomal RNA
Source: RNAcentral